Molecule: ribosomal RNA, 655 nt
Filed under: uncultured Lachnospiraceae bacterium
Lineage: Bacteria; Bacillati; Bacillota; Clostridia; Lachnospirales; Lachnospiraceae
Description: bacterial SSU rRNA
Rfam family: Bacterial small subunit ribosomal RNA
Source: RNAcentral
UAACACAUGCAAGUCGAACGNAGAGAGAAGGAGCUUGCUUCUUCGAUCGAGUGGCGAACGGGUGAGUAACGCGUGAGGAACCUGCCUCAAAGAGGGGGACAACAGUUGGAAACGACUGCUAAUACCGCAUAAGCCCACGGGUCGGCAUCGACCUGAGGGAAAAGGAGCAAUCCGCUUUGAGAUGGCCUCGCGUCCGAUUAGCUAGUUGGUGAGGUAAUGGCCCACCAAGGCGACGAUCGGUAGCCGGACUGAGAGGUUGAACGGCCACAUUGGGACUGAGACACGGCCCAGACUCCUACGGGAGGCAGCAGUGGGGAAUAUUGCACAAUGGGGGAAACCCUGAUGCAGCGACGCCGCGUGGAGGAAGAAGGUCUUCGGAUUGUAAACUCCUGUUGUUGAGGAAGAUAAUGACGGUACUCAACAAGGAAGUGACGGCUAACUACGUGCCAGCAGCCGCGGUAAAACGUAGGUCACAAGCGUUGUCCGGAAUUACUGGGUGUAAAGGGAGCGCAGGCGGGAAGACAAGUUGGAAGUGAAAUCUAUGGGCUCAACCCAUAAACUGCUUUCAAAACUGUUUUUCUUGAGUAGUGCAGAGGUAGGCGGAAUUCCCGGUAUAGCGGUGGAAUGCGUAGAUAUCGGGAGGAACACCAGUGGC